UAGUCCACGCUGUAAACGAUGAUCACUUGUUAUUGGCGAUAUACUGUCAGUGGCAUAGCGAAAGUGUUAAGUGAUCCACCUGGGGAGUACGAUCGCAAGGUUGAAACUCAAAGGAAUUGACGGGGGCCCGCACAAGCGGUGGAGCAUGUGGUUUAAUUCGAUGAUACGCGAGGAACCUUACCAGGGCUUAAAUGGGAAAUGACAGAUUUGGAAACAAGUCCUUCUUCGGACAUUUUUCAAGGUGCUGCAUGGUUGUCGUCAGCUCGUGCCGUGAGGUGUUGGGUUAAGUCCCGUAACGAGCGCAACCCCUAUCUUUAGUUGCCAGCGGGUUAAGCCGGGGACUCUAGAGAAACUGCCAGCGUAAGCUGUGAGGAAGGUGGGGAUGACGUCAAAUCAUCACGGGCCCUUACGCCCUGGGGCCACACACGUGCUACAAUGGUAGGUACAGAGGGGCAGGCUACCGUGCGAGCGGGAUGCGAAUCUCAAAAACCU
This 492-nucleotide ribosomal RNA is filed under the name uncultured bacterium. RNAcentral's name for it is "bacterial SSU rRNA". It matches the Rfam family "Bacterial small subunit ribosomal RNA", at positions 791 to 1284 of the family's 1533-position model. The record is from RNAcentral.